Engraulis encrasicolus (European anchovy) is the source of this 787-nucleotide long non-coding RNA. RefSeq lists it as uncharacterized. The transcript is spliced from 3 exons. The record is from RefSeq and is a predicted model, not a curated record. Lineage: Eukaryota; Metazoa; Chordata; Actinopteri; Clupeiformes; Engraulidae.
AGAUCCCGAGUUUGGAAGAUAAAAUGAAAUGUUGCGUGUAUGGCGUGUGUAAUUCCGACAACGGAGAUCCAAAAAAGUUGGAGGGAGGGGUUACAUUUCAUUCCUUCCCAAAACCAAAGACCGAGAUGGAGAAAUGCCUGCUGUGGACUAAACAAUGUGGACUACCCCACCACCAGCAGCAUGUAAACAGAAGCCACUAUGCAAGCUAAGGGUACGAGGAGAGAGCUCAAACUCCACUGAACACAUGAACACUGUGGAACAAAGUGCUUCAAACACCAGUGACCAUGAUCCCACCACUGAUCAUGGAGAUGAGCUUCAGAUGUUGAGGGACAUGGUGGCCACUCAGAAGGCUGAGAUAAACAAGCUGACCGUACAACUAGAGGCAAAGGAUGUCCAGCUCCAACAACUUAGAUACAAACUCCAUUUACACACUACUUUGGUGUUAAAACCAGAGUCUGUGCAUGAAAGUGAUGUGUUAGGCUAUUUCCAGUAGGCUACUGUGCUUGAUUCACCUAUGAGCAGUUUAAUACCUUGUAUGAGUUCAACAUUUCAAAUAAUCCAGGUACAGUGGCACACCAGACCGUCCUUUGUGUAGUGAACUGUUAUUGACACUGAUGACAUUUAGACAAGUAUAUGGUUACAAAAGAUUCAUUCAGAUUCCACAUCAGUUUACAGAAUGUGAGCACAAUAUUUAAUCAGUCAACAUCAGUCCUGACUCCUGAGUGUGUUUAUUGUGUAUUAUGUAUUGAUUAUUUUAUUAUUGUGUAUUAAAUGCCAUCCAUCAUCA